This 224-nucleotide ribosomal RNA is filed under the name uncultured bacterium. RNAcentral describes it as "partial 16S ribosomal RNA". It matches the Rfam family "Bacterial small subunit ribosomal RNA", at positions 110 to 334 of the family's 1533-position model. The record is from RNAcentral.
CGUACACGUGAGCAACCUUCCGAAAUAUGGGGGAUAGCCGGUCUAACGGCCGAGUAAUACCGCAUACGCUCUCGAUGAGGCAUUUCAUUGAGAGGAAACCUCCGGGGUAUUUCGAGGGGCUCGCGGCCUAUCAGCUAGUUGGCGAGGUAACGGCUCACCAAGGCAACGACGGGUAGCUGGUCUGAGAGGAUGGCCAGCCACAUUGGGACUGAGAUACGGCCCAG